CCUACGGGAGGCUGCAGUGAGGAAUAUUGGUCAAUGGACGAGAGUCUGAACCAGCCAAGUAGCGUGAAGGAUGACUGCCCUAUGGGUUGUAAACUUCUUUUAUAUGGGAAUAAAAUGUUCCACGUGUGGGAUGUUGUAUGUACCAUAUGAAUAAGGAUCGGCUAACUCCGUGCCAGCAGCCGCGGUAAUACGGAGGAUCCGAGCGUUAUCCGGAUUUAUUGGGUUUAAAGGGAGCGUAGGUGGAUUGGUAAGUCAGUUGUGAAAGUUUGCGGCUCAACCGUAAAAUUGCAGUUGAAACUGGCAGUCUUGAGUACAGUAGAGGUGGGCGGAAUUCGUGGUGUAGCGGUGAAAUGCUUAGAUAUCACGAAGAACUCCGAUUGCGAAGGCAGCUCACUGGACUGCAACUGACACUGAGGCUCGAAAGUGUGGGUAUCAAACAGGAUUAGAUACCCUUGUAGUC
RNAcentral lists this ribosomal RNA (460 nucleotides) under uncultured bacterium. Its description in RNAcentral is "partial 16S ribosomal RNA". It matches the Rfam family "Bacterial small subunit ribosomal RNA", at positions 338 to 795 of the family's 1533-position model. The record is from RNAcentral.